Molecule: ribosomal RNA, 521 nt
Filed under: Setophoma sp. CML 2328
Lineage: Eukaryota; Fungi; Ascomycota; Dothideomycetes; Pleosporales; Phaeosphaeriaceae
Description: eukaryotic LSU rRNA
Rfam family: Eukaryotic large subunit ribosomal RNA
Source: RNAcentral
ACAGGGAUUGCCCUAGUAACGGCGAGUGAAGCGGCAACAGCUCAAAUUUGAAAUCUGGCUCUUUUAGAGUCCGAGUUGUAAUUUGCAGAGGGCGCUUUGGCGUUGGCAGCGGUCCAAGUUCUUUGGAACAGGACGUCACAGAGGGUGAGAAUCCCGUACGUGGUCGCUAGCCUUCGCCGUGUAAAGCCCCUUCGACGAGUCGAGUUGUUUGGGAAUGCAGCUCUAAAUGGGAGGUAAAUUUCUUCUAAAGCUAAAUACUGGCCAGAGACCGAUAGCGCACAAGUAGAGUGAUCGAAAGAUGAAAAGCACUUUGGAAAGAGAGUCAAAUAGCACGUGAAAUUGUUGAAAGGGAAGCGCUUGCAGCCAGACUUGUUUGUAGUUGCUUACCUAGACUUUUGUCUGGGGCACUCUUCUGCAAACAGGCCAGCAUCAGUUUGGGCGGUUGGAUAAAGGUCUCUGUCAUGUACCUCUCUUCGGGGAGGCCUUAUAGGGGAGACGACAUACAACCAGCCUGGACUGAG